This 116-nucleotide ribosomal RNA is filed under the name Pteropus vampyrus (large flying fox). The record is from RNAcentral. Lineage: Eukaryota; Metazoa; Chordata; Mammalia; Chiroptera; Pteropodidae.
GUUUUUAAAAACAUUCCUCUACAGCCUGAUCCUGUCUGAUCUCAGAAGCUAAGUGGGGUUGGGCCUGGUUAGUACUUGAAUGGGAGACCACCUAGGAAAACCAGGUACUGUAGGCA